This 250-nucleotide unclassified non-coding RNA is filed under the name plant metagenome. RNAcentral describes it as "partial contains small subunit ribosomal RNA, internal transcribed spacer 1, and 5.8S ribosomal RNA". The record is from RNAcentral.
GUAGGUGAACCUGCGGAAGGAUCAUUAAUGAAUAUCUAUGGCGUUGGUUGUAGCUGGCUUCUAGGAGCAUGUGCACACCCGCCAUUUUUAUCUUUCCACCUGUGCACUAAAUGUAGAUCUGGAUAACUCUCGCUCUCACGAGCGGAUGCAAGGAUUGCUGUGUCGCAAGACCGGCUCUCCUUGAACUUCCAGGUCUAUGUACCCUUUACACACCCCAAUUGAAUGAUGAAGAAUGUAGUCAAUGGGCUCU